UAUUACACACAUUAGUUUAGGGGGAUUGUAUUCAUCCGUGCCCCAUCGUGGAAAGUUCACCCUGUCAUUUCCCACUGAUGAAAUUGUGCCAAUGUACUAGACCUGGGAAAGGUGAAUCACCCCAAUUCCACCAGUGCAUCUGGACGUGGACUUACACUCCCAUACUAUACAGAUAAAUACGUGCAAAAUAGUCAUCCAUUAACCCCUCUGCCUUAGGAAAAGUACUUGCCCUUGCUCCGUUCACUUUUCCUCAAGACCAGAGGAAAGAAAGAUUGACUGUCUUACAGGAAGAAUGUGUCAAUCAUAACAGUCUACAGUUAAAGCUUUAUCCUUUACUCCACUAGAAGAGCCUAAUUCAAUGAUACAAUUACGUGUAUUUGUCAAAGUUUCCCUGCUCCUUAGCUUCCCCGAGAAGAAAUGUACCCACCCUACUUUCCUUCAUGGGAGAGUUUCUCCUCCCCUUAGGUCUCAACUGGGGUAGUUACCCUUGUUCAUGUCCCACCAGGCAAGUGUACCUAUCCUAUCCCAUCCCUUCAGGGGAAGUGUAACCCUUCCUAUUGGUCCUAUUAUAUUGUACCCACCCUCCAGUCCCACCAAAGGAAGUGUAUCCACCCUCAGGUCCCAUCAUGGAAGUUUGCCCACCACUACGUCCCACCCUCAGAUCUCACUAGGGAAAUUGUACCCACCCUCAGAUCUCACCAGGGAAAGUGUACCCACCCUCAGGUCUACCAAGGGAAGUGUACCCACUCAGGUACACCAGGGGAAGUACCCACCCUCAGGCCCAAGGAAACUUUCCCACCCUUAGGGUCUACCAGCAGAAGUGUAUCCACCUCUGGAUUCCAUCUGGGGAAGCGUAUUCAUCCUCAGGUCUCAGCUGGGAAAUGUGUUCACCCUUGAUUUCCACCAAAGAAAAUACAUCUGCCCUCAAACCCCACCGGGGUUGUGAUCCUCUAGGUCCCAAUAGAAGUGUACCCUACCCCUUAGGUCUAACCAGGGGAACUAUACCCUACCCCACAAAGGUGUAACUCAUCUCUUGGAGUCCCAAGAAGUGUACCCCUCCCUAAGGUCAACCAGGGAAGCUACCCCACCCCAUAGGUCCAAUCAGUGAGGUGUACCCCACCCCAUAGGUCCAAUCAGGGAGGUGUACCCCACCCCAUAGGUCCAAUCAGGGAGGUGUACCCCACCCCAUAGGUCCAAUCAAUGAGGUGUACCCCAUCCCCUGGGUCCAAUCAGUGAGGUGUACCCCACCCCUUAGGUCCAAUCAGUGAGGUGUACCCCACCCCUUAGGUCCAAUCAGGGAAGUGUACCCCACCCCUUAGGUCCAAUCAGGAAGGUGUACUCCACCCCUUAGGUCCAAUCAGGGAGGUGUACCCCACCCCUUAGGUCCAAUCAGGGAGGUGUACCCCACCCCUUAGGUCCAAUCAGGGAGGUGUACCCCACCCCUUAGGUCCAAUCAGGGAGGUGUACCCUAGCCCUUAGGUCCAAUCAGGAAGGUGUACUCUACCCCUUAGGUCCAAUUAGGGAGGUGUACCCCAGCCCUUAGGUCCAAUCAGGGAGGUGUACCCCACCCCUUCGGUCCAAUCAGGGAGGUGUACCCCACCCCUUCGGUCCAAUCAGAGAGGUGUACCCCACCCCUUAAGUCUAAUCAAGAAGGUGUACCCCACUCCUUUGGCCCCAUCAGAAAUGUAUCCCACCCUUUCAGUCCCACCAAUGGAGGUGUACCUCACCCAUUAGGUCCCACAAGAUUAGGGGUACCCCACCCCUAAGGUCCCACCAAGGGAGGUGUACCUCACCCAUUAGGUCCCACAAGAUUAAGUGUACCCCACCCCUAAGGUCCCACAAGAUAAUUGCAAUCCACUUUUUAGGUCCCACCAGGGGAGAUGUACCUCACCCCUUAGGUCCCACCAGGGGAGGUGUACCUUACCCCUUAGGUCCCACCAGGGGAGGUGUACCUCACCCCUUAGGUCCCACCAGGGGAGGUGUACCUCACCCCUUAGGUCCCACCAGGGGAGGUGUACCUCACCCCUUAGGUCCCACCAGGGGAGGUGUACCCCACCCCUAAGCUCCCACAAGGGGAGGUGUACCCCACCCCAAAGCUCCCACCAGGGAAGGUGUACCCCACCCCUAAGCUCCCACAAGGGGAGGUGUACCCCACCCCUAAGCUCCCACAAGGGGAGGUGUGCCCCUUCCCUUAGGUCCUUUAGGGGAGGUGUUCUUUCCCAUAGAUUCCACAAAGGAAAGUGCACUCCUAAUGGGUUCCACCAGGGAAGUGUACAUGAUCUGUCCUUCAGUUCAACAGGGGAGGUGUACCCACCUCAGUUAUUUUUGUUAGAUUCCAACAGGGCAGGGGCACUCAUUUAAAUCCCACUUGAAGUGUACCCACCCUCAAAAGCCAUCAGAGGAAGUGCUCCCUUCCUCGACCCACACAUCGGUCCCAUUAGGGGAAGUAAAAUCUUCCUCAGGUCCCACCAGUGGAAAUUACCCUUCAGACCCCAUCUGGGGAAGUGUAUGCUAUAAUGGCAUCCCACUAGGGGAAGGGCACUCACUUCAUUCACAUCAGGGGAAGUUUAUCCUCUUUAGAUCCAGCGGUGAAAGUGUACCCACUCAUCACACCUGUAGUCUUUCAUUCCGUCUGUCCACUCGCAAACGUAGAUGUGGCACCUGCGCAUUGUUAGUUCGUGAUUGUGUGAAGAUCCACUUUAUAUUUUCAGUGAUAUAUUUGAAUGUUUGUGUAUAAAAAAAAAAAAAAAUGUAUAUGAACCGCAUACAAGAUUUGCAUCGAUAA
This is a long non-coding RNA of Eriocheir sinensis (Chinese mitten crab), 2785 nucleotides long. RefSeq lists it as uncharacterized. NCBI's taxonomy places the organism in Eukaryota, Metazoa, Arthropoda, Malacostraca, Decapoda, Varunidae. The transcript is spliced from 3 exons. The record is from RefSeq and is a predicted model, not a curated record.